GGUGACUCAGUGAUAGAGUGCUUGCCUUGCAUGCAGGAGGCCCUGGGUUCGAUUCCUCAGCACCA
This 65-nucleotide transfer RNA is filed under the name Dipodomys ordii (Ord's kangaroo rat). It matches the Rfam family "tRNA". Rfam says of the family: Transfer RNA (tRNA) molecules are approximately 80 nucleotides in length. Their secondary structure includes four short double-helical elements and three loops (D, anti-codon, and T loops). Lineage: Eukaryota; Metazoa; Chordata; Mammalia; Rodentia; Heteromyidae. The record is from Rfam by way of RNAcentral.